RNAcentral lists this transfer RNA (71 nucleotides) under Candidatus Iainarchaeum sp. RNAcentral's name for it is "tRNA-Cys". It matches the Rfam family "tRNA". Rfam says of the family: Transfer RNA (tRNA) molecules are approximately 80 nucleotides in length. Their secondary structure includes four short double-helical elements and three loops (D, anti-codon, and T loops). Further hydrogen bonds mediate the characteristic L-shaped molecular structure. tRNAs have two regions of fundamental functional importance: the anti-codon, which is responsible for specific mRNA codon recognition, and the 3' end, to which the tRNAs corresponding amino acid is attached (by aminoacyl-tRNA synthetases). tRNAs cope with the degeneracy of the genetic code in two manners: having more than one tRNA (with a specific anti-codon) for a particular amino acid; and 'wobble' base-pairing, i.e. permitting non-standard base-pairing at the 3rd anti-codon position. The record is from RNAcentral. Lineage: Archaea; Nanobdellati; Candidatus Iainarchaeota; Candidatus Iainarchaeia; Candidatus Iainarchaeales; Candidatus Iainarchaeaceae.
GCUGAGAUGGCAGAGCGGUUAUGCACCCGCCUGCAGAGCGGGUUAGGGGGGUUCGACUCCCUCUCUCAGCU